Molecule: long non-coding RNA, 576 nt
Organism: Engraulis encrasicolus (European anchovy)
Lineage: Eukaryota; Metazoa; Chordata; Actinopteri; Clupeiformes; Engraulidae
Exons: 3
Source: RefSeq, a predicted model, not a curated record
GCGAUAGAAGCCACAACAGAGCAGUUAGCAUGUUGACAGUAGUUCCAGUCCAGCUAGCAUGUGUAUAGUGGAUCAUUGGUGGCGUUUGAACGGCAAGCCGCCUGUGGUAUGCCACCUGUGUCCGACAUCUGACCACUGACGGUUACAAAAUACACAAGGCAUCGGUGGAUUUUGGUUGGCAAUCCGACAUAGUGCACGAAUACUCUGUCUGCACUGUCCAAACAGCGGCAUGCUACCAGCCCCUAGCACCAAUGGAGGAGGACCGCCUACUUGUUAGACUACCUCUGCGCCUACUCAUUUGGUGCCAUCGUUUGCAUCAGAUAAAUCACAACAAAGAUAUGGUAACCCAAGACCCACGGUUAUAUAAGGAGGUGUAUGAAGAAACGACAGCAUAGAGGACCCAGCACAUCCCCUCACAGAUUCCAUGCCUUUCAAAAUAUCAGAACAAGAUGUCAAGGCAUUUUCCUUAAAGAACUUACAACAUUUCAGGAGUGUGUCACCAUUUGGGUUUUCAUUUUGUACAAUACAUCACCUAUCACCAAGAACGCUACAUUUUGUAAGCUAUGUUUCCUGCAU